CGAAAGGCAGGCUAAUACCGCAUACGCUGAUAAGCGUCAGUUUAUCAGGAAAGCUUUUGCGCUUGGGGAGGGGCUUGCGUCUGAUUAGCUAGUUGGUAAGGUAAUGGCUUACCAAGGCGAUGAUCAGUAGCUGGUCUGAGAGGACAACCAGCCAGACGGGGACUGAGAUACGGCCCUGACUCCUACGGGAGGCAACAGCAAGGAAUUUUGCGCAAUGGGCGAAAGCCUGACGCAGCGACGCCGCGUGGGGGAUGAAGGCCUUCGGGUUGUAAACCCCUUUUCUAGAGGAAGAAAUCUGACGGUACUCUAGGAAUAAGUCUUGGCUAACUACGUGCCAGCAGCCGCGGUAAUACGUAGAAGGCGAACGUUAUCCGGAUUUACUGGGCGUAAAGCGGGUGUAGACGGUUUUCUAAGUCAGUCGUGAAAUCUCCCGACUCAAUCUGGAGAUUGCAAUUGAUACUGGAGGACUUGAGGGCAUCAGAAGAAAGUAGAAUUCACGGUGUAGCGGUGAAAUGCGUAGAUAUCGUGAGGAAUACCAGUGGCGCAAGCGGCUUUCUAGGAUGCUCCUGACGUUGAGGCCCGAAAGUGUGGGGAGCGAAAC
RNAcentral lists this ribosomal RNA (601 nucleotides) under bacterium enrichment culture clone AD_Bacteria_35. RNAcentral's name for it is "bacterial SSU rRNA". It matches the Rfam family "Bacterial small subunit ribosomal RNA", at positions 152 to 774 of the family's 1533-position model. The record is from RNAcentral.